Molecule: ribosomal RNA, 460 nt
Filed under: uncultured bacterium
Lineage: Bacteria
Description: partial 16S ribosomal RNA
Rfam family: Bacterial small subunit ribosomal RNA
Source: RNAcentral
CCUACGGGAGGCAGCAGUGAGGAAUAUUGGUCAAUGGACGAGAGUCUGAACCAGCCAAGUAGCGUGAAGGAUGACUGCCCUAUGGGUGGUAAACUUCUUUUAUAAAGGAAUAAAACGAGGCACGUGUGCCUUUUUGCAUGUACUUUAUGAAUAAGGAUCGGCUAACUCCGUGCCAGCAGCCGCGGUAAUACGGAGGAUCCGAGCGUUAUCCGGAUUGAUUGGGUGUAAAGGGAGCGUAGAUGGGUUGUUAAGUCAGUUGUGAAAGUCUGCGGCUAAACCGUAAAAUUGCAAUUGAUACUGGCAGUCUUGAGUGCAGUUGAGGUAGGCGGAAUUCGUGGUGUAGCGGUGAAAUGCGUAGAUAUCACGAAGAACCCCGAUUGCGAAGGCAGCUUACUAAACUGUGACUGACAUUGAUGCUCGAAAGUGUGGGUAGCAAACAGGAUUAGAUACCCCAGUAGUC